This 758-nucleotide long non-coding RNA is filed under the name Elaeis guineensis (African oil palm). RNAcentral describes it as "long non-coding RNA (EGUI_LNC006444)". Lineage: Eukaryota; Viridiplantae; Streptophyta; Magnoliopsida; Arecales; Arecaceae. The record is from RNAcentral.
CUACUUCAUUGUGGUGUAAAUCUUCUUCCUCAAGGAGAAAAAUCACUAUGUGCACUAUUUUUAGUAUCAAAGUAGGUUCAAUUUGCCUGUAGUGUUCCACAUCAAUUUUAAAGCCAUGGUUUGCCAAUGUGCCUGCAAUGCCCCAGGCUGAAGAUCGAUUCAAGAGACAUGAAGAUCCCAUGGUUGCAAGAAUGGAUGGUAGUACUGUAGGUGGAGCGUGAUUGUGCAGUUGAUCGUUGCCUUAGAGGAUUAGACUGGGAGGAUGAUAUGACAUCAAAUGCAUCAUCUGAGUACCUCAUCUACCCUUUUUGCCGUCAUAUUCUAAAUCAAGAGUUGGUUCAUCAUCCCUCACUUGAAGAGUCUUGUAGGAUUGUGUAGGCUUUUUGGCACCAAAGCCAAGCUUCCUGAGUGUCACAAGAGGCUCAAUCCAUAAGACUUUCUCAAUUGGAUCAUCACCAUUGAGAGGUUUUUUGAAGCUAUGGAUGUCCCCAACAACAAGAAGGUGAAGAGUGCGACUUGAAAUUACAAGGCUAUGCAUCUAUAUGGUGGGAGAAUAUCAGACGUUCUUGAGCAUUAAAAAUUGAAGACUAUUAAUUGACCAAAGAUAGAGAAGCAUCUACAUCCCCACUUCCUUUUUGUAGAUCACUCUCUCUCUUUCUAUCAAUCUUAUAUGAAUCUUAGGGUGAAAGGAGCAUCAAUGAUUACACGGAGGACUUUAUCAAAUCUGCUUUGGCAUGCACGCAUGAAGGUGAAGGAAC